RNAcentral lists this unclassified non-coding RNA (246 nucleotides) under Hevea brasiliensis (rubber tree). The record is from RNAcentral. Lineage: Eukaryota; Viridiplantae; Streptophyta; Magnoliopsida; Malpighiales; Euphorbiaceae.
AAAAAUUGCACAAGACCCUUCAUUUUCCCCUCUUUCAAUCCCUUCACCAUCAAAUUUUUCUUCAUCAAAUCUUGAACUACAACAACAUGGUUGUAUGCUUCUACUAUGACCUUUAGACUCAUUUUUCUCAAAAUAUUGUGAACCAAGUGAUUUUGGGCUAAAAAGAACAAGUUUACAAAUAAAGUUUGGAUUUUUAUGACCCCAUUUGUUUGAUUUUGGAGAUGAAUUGAGAAAAGAAAGGGUGGA